CCCUUAGAUGUCCUGGGCCGCACGCGCGCUACACUGAUGCAUUCAACGAGUUUCUUCCUGGUCCGAGAGGAAUGGGUAACCUUUUGAAAGUGCAUCGUGAUAGGGAUAGACUAUUACAAUUAUUGGUCUUCAACGAGGAAUUCCUAGUAGACGUAGUUCAUCAGACUGCAUCGAUUACGUCCCUGCCCUUUGUACACACCGCCCGUCGCUCCUACCGAUUGAAUGCUCAGGUGAGCCAUUCGGACUUUCAUCAUGCUGGUUUCCAGUUUUGAUGAAGGAAAGUCUUGCGAACCUUAUCAUUUAGAGGAAGGAGAAGUCGUAACA
RNAcentral lists this ribosomal RNA (324 nucleotides) under uncultured eukaryote. RNAcentral describes it as "partial 18S ribosomal RNA". It matches the Rfam family "Eukaryotic small subunit ribosomal RNA", at positions 1470 to 1796 of the family's 1831-position model. The record is from RNAcentral.